Long non-coding RNA from Clupea harengus (Atlantic herring), 1125 nucleotides. The record is from Ensembl. NCBI's taxonomy places the organism in Eukaryota, Metazoa, Chordata, Actinopteri, Clupeiformes, Clupeidae.
CACACACACACACACACACACACCUGGACCAGCAGCUACGAGCCCAAACCCAAGUGCCUGGCGAUCCCCCACCUCCCCUUCACCCACACCCCUCCCCUCCCCUCCCCCUCCCUACCUGUGGGCAGAAUAGACUGAGAACUUUUCCUCUGCUGUUGUACCACACUCACUCACUCACUCACUCAUUCAUCUUCUUUCAGUAUCAAUGAGUCGCUUAAGAAACUGUCCACUCUGACUACUUUGCUAAGCUAUGUUGAGAUACUACCCAGAAUAUUUGCGCUGCGUUUGAAAUAACUUCUGAAGCCAACUUUAUAUUGUUCUCCUUAUUUAUUUGCAAUUUGUUUUGCAUAUAUCAGGCACAAGAAAAGUAUAUUUUAGGAGGUGCCUGUUUGUCCUUCAUGCUUUUUUUUUUUUUAUAGUAUUGUACAAAAAUACUUUUGACACUCAAGAACAUUUUGAAUCCUCUUGUACAAGUUUUGAUGAGAAAAUGUCCUGUAUUAGAAAUAUAUAUAAAAAAAAAAAAAGAAGAUACUUGACAAUUUAAAAUGGUUGUUCUUUGUCUUGUACAUAGGGUUUUUUUUUCCUUCGUGUGUAAAGCUUAAGGAUACUGCUUGGAAUCAUGGACAAGCUGUUGAAAGAUUUAGGUAGUCUAGUUUUACCUCGUUUUUGUACAUAUGUGUUGGUAUUCACCUAGUUGGUGUGAAGGAUUGUUAAUACAGCGUCACUUCGUGUGUUUGUUUAAAAUAUUUCGACCAACCAGAGGACCAGUGACUGGAAAGUGUUAAUUUAUUUUUUAUAUGUGCAGGGACAUUUUUUUUAUGUUUUGCACCAUUUUCUUGAUGUCAUUUUAUAGUUCACAGUGGCCCGUGUAUUUCCAUACCAUCUUCAAUUUUGUAUCGCAAAAUAUGCAAAUUCUCUUUUGUAUUUCUUGAGCACCAAAAGAACAUUACAGGUCCUAACUCUCUUUGCUGAGAAAAAAAAAAAAAAUCUUGAAAUGGUUGAAAUGGUUGUGUACAUCGACUGUUUUAUUGAUGAAUUAAAAUCAGUUCACAGUGUGUGUUGAAGUCCAUUUUGUAAUCUGAUUUUCUUUUGGAACAGUGGUUUAAUAAAGAACCUAACUACCUCCCC